UGUUUCGUCUCGCAAAUUUCGAGGAGACUGAGGUGAAGAAUUUUCGGGCAUUUUCGGGCUGCUCCUGCUACUGCUCCAAUGCUCUUUUCUCAAGAACAAAUACGCCUGGCUAAUGUUUUUUGUACUAUUAAUGA
Non-coding RNA from Caenorhabditis elegans, 134 nucleotides. The record is from Ensembl. Lineage: Eukaryota; Metazoa; Nematoda; Chromadorea; Rhabditida; Rhabditidae.